AACUCUUCAUCAUAGUGAAAUCUUCCACAAGGGAAAUUUUUGAACUUCAUACUGCAUGACCUGAAAUAAUAAAAUAACUAUGUCAAAAGAUGAUAAUAUUGUAGAAAAACAUCGCAAAAUUCACAAGAAAGAGCAGAAACAAUAGAACUAAUCUUUUUCUAAAGGAACUUCAAUAAUUAUAACAUUAAGGUGGGAGAAAAGUACCAUCAGAUGCAACUGGUGUUGCAGAGUCUCAAUUAAUUUUUCCUUCCACCAAGCUACAAAAUAAAGAAAUAUUUGUUUGAGAAAAAAAUACGCAAAACAGAAUGCAAAGAAAAGGAUUGGUUUUAGCUACUUCUGCUACUCAUCAAACCUUAUUAUCCAUCUGCAAUGGAAUGCUACCACAGACCACACUUCUCUGCUCCUUUUUGCGCUUACGUGUCUGACGUUCAGGCUUCUCAGAUAGAGAAUGUCCCCCCUACACUUUGUGUAUGCAUGAAGUAAAUAUAAUCCACCAAAAUCCAGAAUCAACAGGAGCCACGCUUCAUAUUACGCUCUCACCAAAAUCUGCAAUUAAUGUCUCGAUAUUUCUAACCAGAUCAUGGAGUGCUUUGAAGCUAGCUGGCAUUACACCUAGAGGCGUAUCUAGCCUUGUAGGCAGGGUUCAAUUGAACCCCUAAAUUUCGACGCGGAGCAUAAGUUUAUGUGUAAAAAAUUCUUAAAAAUUGUAAUAAAUAGUAGAUAUGAACCCAUAAAUUUUAAAAAUAUAAUAGGUUCAACGCUAAGAAUCUUAGGAUUGAACCCAUAGAGUUUAAAUCCUGGAUCUGCCUGUGAUU
This is a long non-coding RNA of Lycium ferocissimum, 815 nucleotides long. RefSeq lists it as uncharacterized. The record is from RefSeq and is a predicted model, not a curated record. The transcript has 3 exons. Lineage: Eukaryota; Viridiplantae; Streptophyta; Magnoliopsida; Solanales; Solanaceae.